GCUUUCAUGGUGUAGUGGUCAGCACGCUCGACGCGUAACCGAGAGGUCCGUGGUUCGAUCCCUGCGAGGGCA
This 72-nucleotide transfer RNA is filed under the name Stegodyphus mimosarum. It matches the Rfam family "tRNA". From Rfam's summary of the family: Transfer RNA (tRNA) molecules are approximately 80 nucleotides in length. Their secondary structure includes four short double-helical elements and three loops (D, anti-codon, and T loops). The record is from Rfam by way of RNAcentral. Lineage: Eukaryota; Metazoa; Arthropoda; Arachnida; Araneae; Eresidae.